UACGAAGGGUGCUAGCGUUGUUCGGAAUCACUGGGCGUAAAGCGCACGUAGGCGGAUUUGUUAGUCAGGGGUGAAAUCCCGGGGCUCAACCUCGGAACUGCCUUUGAUACUGCAGAUCUCGAGUCCGGAAGAGGUGAGUGGAAUUCCUAGUGUAGAGGUGAAAUUCGUAGAUAUUAGGAAGAACACCAGUGGCGAAGGCGGCUCACUGGUCCGGUACUGACGCUGCGGUGCGAAAGCGUGGGUAGCAAACAGG
This 253-nucleotide ribosomal RNA is filed under the name uncultured bacterium. RNAcentral's name for it is "partial 16S ribosomal RNA". It matches the Rfam family "Bacterial small subunit ribosomal RNA", at positions 524 to 776 of the family's 1533-position model. The record is from RNAcentral.